Long non-coding RNA from Myotis brandtii (Brandt's bat), 746 nucleotides. RefSeq lists it as uncharacterized. NCBI's taxonomy places the organism in Eukaryota, Metazoa, Chordata, Mammalia, Chiroptera, Vespertilionidae. The record is from RefSeq and is a predicted model, not a curated record. The transcript is spliced from 3 exons.
CCUCCCGCCUGCUGCCCCGGUGCGCUCAGCCUGGCUCUUGCAAUCCUGCGCCUCCCGCCAAGCUGCGAGCUGUCAGCACGCAGUUUCGCUGAACAGGAAACGGAGUCCCAGGGAUUGUGUUAGUCUCUCCGAGGCCGCCCAGGGAAAGGUGGGUGGGUUGGGGCUUGGCGGGCUCUCCCCAAAGUGCGCUGGAGAAUCCAGCCUCGAGGCCUUUGCACUGGAUGUGCCCUCCGCCUGAGCUGCCCUUCCCCCCACCUCCUGUGGCAAUCACCUCCUUCAUGAGGGCCUUCCUGAUGUCCCCCACAUCUGCAGGGGGGCCGGGCUGUUUCCUCUGAGCACCUGAUCACAAGGGCUGGGAGACCCAUGGAGGGCUUCCAGGAAGAGGAGGCCCUCAAGCUGAGUCUGGCCGGAGCCUGGGGGCAGAGGACCCCCUUGAUGCCCCAUUUCCUCAACCUACCUACCACGGAGCACCGAGGGUGACAGUGAGGAGCUGGGGGAGGGGCGGGCAGAGGACACCCGCUGCGUGCCUGUGGGCGGGGAAGGCGGCACGCUGGAAAGGGUGCGGUGGUGGGAGCCCUGGAGUAACCCCGACCUCGCCAGUCCGCGCCAAGAGCUGACGUCCAGCUGAAAGGGUCGCGGUGCCCCCCUUGCCCGAAUGGGAAAGUUGAGGUCGGAGAGGGUGAGGGCAGGGCCAUGCAGAAUGGGGACCUCUGGACCCGGGUCUGGCCCCAAAGCCGUCGCUCACA